UGUGAGUGUAUGUGUGUGUGUGUGUGUGUGUACGCAUAUAUAUAUAUAUAUAUUUAUAUAUAUAUAUACACACACACACACACACACACACAUACACACACACA
This is a non-coding RNA of Pelobates cultripes (western spadefoot toad), 104 nucleotides long. Lineage: Eukaryota; Metazoa; Chordata; Amphibia; Anura; Pelobatidae. The record is from the annotation of a GenBank genome assembly.